This 1433-nucleotide long non-coding RNA is filed under the name Marmota marmota marmota (Alpine marmot). RNAcentral's name for it is "lncRNA (ENSMMMG00000017473.1)". Lineage: Eukaryota; Metazoa; Chordata; Mammalia; Rodentia; Sciuridae. The record is from RNAcentral.
GCUUUCUUGAUGACGGCUGUCGCACAGGCACUGAGUUCGGGUCCGGUCCGUCCAGCCUCUACACAGGGCGCUCCGGGGCCCGGCGGCCGUGAAGGCAGUGCGCAGGCGCACGAGGCGAGAGGGCAAGAAAACUCGCAAGCGAGCGGAGCGGGAUUGAGGCUGUGCGGAAGGAACUCCUGCUCAGUGAACGACGCAGUGGGCAGGCGCGCGUGGCCGAGUGGGCGUGGCGGCGAUUCCGCAAACUGGGACGAGAUUCGUGGUAGGGCGGAGUGGAGACGGCCCGGGUGAUGCAUUGCGCAGGCGCAUGCGGCGGCAGGGGCGUGACGUCACGGCGCGCGUCGGGAUCGGCAGAGUAGUCCGGUCUGGUGUUCUGCUGCCCCUGCGCCAGGCACGAUGUUCGGCUCCAGCCGUGGAGGCGUGCGCGGCGGACAGGACCAGUUCAACUGGGAGGACGUGAAGACCGACAAGCAGAGGGAGAACUACUUGGGCAACUNNNNNNNNNNNNNNNNNNNGGCCUUCCUCACCGCGCUGUCCCCACAGUGGUUCCGCCGGCCGCGUGGCACUGUCCCGGGAGGACAAGGAGGCUGCCAAGCUGGGGCUGUCGGUGUUCACGCAUCACCGCGUGGACAGCAGCAGCCCGGGCACCUGUCCAGCUUCCAAGAGGAGGCCACGCGCGGAGGAGGAGGCUGAGCCGAGCACCGAGAGCCACAAGAAAAGCAAGAAGGAGAAGAAGAAAAAGAAAAAGAAAAAACAUAAGAAACAGAAGAUGAAGAAAGACAAGGAGUCCAAGAAAGAGGCUGAUGCCUCUUCCUCAUCCCCUUCUCCUGUUCGAUCUGGGCGCCAGAGGCAUGAUUCUGACUCCUCUUCCCCUUGCUGCAAGAGGAGGAAGCGGGGACAUAGCAGGGACAGUGGAAGGAACCCAUCCUACAGACGUCAGGACCGAGGCUCUGAUGCUUGAGACUGCAGCUGGGUCAGUGGAGGCCAGAGCCUUGGACCCUACCCACCACUGUACCUUGUGGGGCAUGAGAGGACGACUGGACCCUAUGUGUUCUGGGUGCCAGCUCGCUCCUCCCACCCUGUUGGCCUGCUGGACCACCCAGGGAAAGGCCUCCUGUCUGGGUUGAGGCAAAGGCUGUGUACUGUGCCUGCUGGGCCAUGUGAGCUGGCUGGCCAACUCAAGAGGAACCUGCUUUGUGGAGACCCUCCAGAUUCCUGUGAAGGGAGUCCAUAGAACUCAGCGGGUUCUGGGACAACCAUCCCUGGUCUUGCCUGCUGCCAGACAAGAUCUGCACCUGCCUAAGAGCCUUUUGCAGAGACUAGACUCCUGUGUAGCCAUCCAGGCCCAUCAGAGGUUUAGCUAAAACCAAGUGUGGUUAUCUCUAUUCCUUUUUGUAUGGACUCACUCUUUGUACUUUAAUAAAUACCUUAAAACA